AGAGUUAGAUCCUGGCUCAGAUUGAACGCUGGCGGCAGGCCUAACACAUGCAAGUCGAACGGUAACAGGAAGCAGCUUGCUGCUUCGCUGACGAGUGGCGGACGGGUGAGUAAUGUCUGGGAAGCUGCCUGAUGGAGGGGGAUAACUACUGGAAACGGUAGCUAAUACCGCAUAGUGUCGCAAGACCAAAGAGGGGGACCUUCGGGCCUCUUGCCAUCGGAUGUGCCCAGAUGGGAUUAGCUUGUUGGUGGGGUAACGGCUCACCAAGGCGACGAUCCCUAGCUGGUCUGAGAGGAUGACCAGCCACACUGGAACUGAGACACGGUCCAGACUCCUACGGGAGGCAGCAGUGGGGAAUAUUGCACAAUGGGCGCAAGCCUGAUGCAGCCAUGCCGCGUGUAUGAAGAAGGCCUUCGGGUUGUAAAGUACUUUCAGCGGGGAGGAAGGGAGUAAAGUUAAUACCUUUGCUCAUUGACGUUACCCGCAGAAGAAGCACCGGCUAACUCCGUGCCAGCAGCCGCGGUAAUACGGAGGGUGCAAGCGUUAAUCGGAAUUACUGGGCGUAAAGCGCACGCAGGCGGUUUGUUAAGUCAGAUGUGAAAUCCCCGGGCUCAACCUGGGAACUGCAUCUGAUACUGGCAAGCUUGAGUCUCGUAGAGGGGGGUAGAAUUCCAGGUGUAGCGGUGAAAUGCGUAGAGAUCUGGAGGAAUACCGGUGGCGAAGGCGGCCCCCUGGACGAAGACUGACGCUCAGGUGCGAAAGCGUGGGGAGCAAACAGGAUUAGAUACCCUGGUAGUCCACGCCGUAAACGAUGUCGACUUGGAGGUUGUGCCCUUGAGGCGUGGCUUCCGGAGCUAACGCGUUAAGUCGACCGCCUGGGGAGUACGGCCGCAAGGUUAAAACUCAAAUGAAUUGACGGGGGCCCGCACAAGCGGUGGAGCAUGUGGUUUAAUUCGAUGCAACGCGAAGAACCUUACCUGGUCUUGACAUCCACGGAAGUUUUCAGAGAUGAGAAUGUGCCUUCGGGAACCGUGAGACAGGUGCUGCAUGGCUGUCGUCAGCUCGUGUUGUGAAAUGUUGGGUUAAGUCCCGCAACGAGCGCAACCC
This 1107-nucleotide ribosomal RNA is filed under the name uncultured bacterium. Its description in RNAcentral is "bacterial SSU rRNA". It matches the Rfam family "Bacterial small subunit ribosomal RNA", at positions 8 to 1104 of the family's 1533-position model. The record is from RNAcentral.